This 169-nucleotide ribosomal RNA is filed under the name uncultured bacterium. RNAcentral describes it as "partial 16S ribosomal RNA". It matches the Rfam family "Bacterial small subunit ribosomal RNA", at positions 338 to 524 of the family's 1533-position model. The record is from RNAcentral.
CCUACGGGAGGCAGCAGUGGGGAAUAUUGCACAAUGGGGGAAACCCCGAUGCAGCAACGCCGCGUGGAGGAUGACGCAUUUCGGUGUGUAAACUCCUUUUAUCGGUCAAGAAAAUGACGGUAGCCGAUGAAUAAGCACCGGCUAACUCCGUGCCAGCAGCCGCGGUAAU